Molecule: microRNA precursor, 60 nt
Organism: Bos taurus (domestic cattle)
Lineage: Eukaryota; Metazoa; Chordata; Mammalia; Artiodactyla; Bovidae
Source: Ensembl
AAAUGUUCAUUCAGGUUUUCCUACAACAUCUUACAGAAAAACCCGAAUGAACUUCUUGGC